Molecule: transfer RNA, 63 nt
Filed under: Operophtera brumata (winter moth)
Lineage: Eukaryota; Metazoa; Arthropoda; Insecta; Lepidoptera; Geometridae
Rfam family: tRNA
About the family: Transfer RNA (tRNA) molecules are approximately 80 nucleotides in length. Their secondary structure includes four short double-helical elements and three loops (D, anti-codon, and T loops). Further hydrogen bonds mediate the characteristic L-shaped molecular structure. tRNAs have two regions of fundamental functional importance: the anti-codon, which is responsible for specific mRNA codon recognition, and the 3' end, to which the tRNAs corresponding amino acid is attached (by aminoacyl-tRNA synthetases). tRNAs cope with the degeneracy of the genetic code in two manners: having more than one tRNA (with a specific anti-codon) for a particular amino acid; and 'wobble' base-pairing, i.e. permitting non-standard base-pairing at the 3rd anti-codon position.
Source: Rfam by way of RNAcentral
CGUUCUAUGGCCGAAUUGGUAAAGGCAUCGCCGAGGUUGCGGGUUUGAGUCCCGCUGGAACGA